This 471-nucleotide unclassified non-coding RNA is filed under the name Stichococcus bacillaris. Its description in RNAcentral is "putative intron". The stretch from base 24 to 365 matches the Rfam family "Group I catalytic intron". Rfam says of the family: Group I catalytic introns are large self-splicing ribozymes. They catalyse their own excision from mRNA, tRNA and rRNA precursors in a wide range of organisms. The core secondary structure consists of 9 paired regions (P1-P9). Lineage: Eukaryota; Viridiplantae; Chlorophyta; Trebouxiophyceae; Prasiolales; Stichococcaceae. The record is from RNAcentral.
UAAUGUUGUGAAGCUCUAGCGCCGAAAAGUGACUGUGAAAACAGUCGCUAGUGGUCUGGGAGUCGUUCUACCUAGAGGCUCUCAGACUGCGACACUGUCAAAUUGCGGGGACAUCCUAAAGCUGCCGAGUGCCAAGCCGAUUCCUGGAAACGGGACGGUGGCCGGGGAGAGAGACCCCGGGUACGGCAACAACCUCAGCAGAUGUUUACAAUGGACAAUCCGCAGCCAAGUCCUAAUAGGAGAUGCUCUGUUUCUCAACAAACACGAGAGCUCCUGAUGGAUGCUGUUCACAGACUAAAUGGCAGUGGGCGCGUUUGAUCACAAACGUGCUUGAGAUAUAGUCGGCCCCCGGUCGAAAGGCCGGCCUGUUGGAGGAUGGAGCUAGGUCCGGAGAGCCAACAGGGAGGAUGGACAAAAUACUUGUACAAGUUGCAAGGGCGUUUUGGUUCGCCUCCGUCCUCGGAGCAAGCG